GCUAGUGACGUUUCAAUCCAUGUUGUUUGAGGUGUAGAUGAGCCAAGUUCCUGUUUUUCAGGGAGAGUCCACUUGGUUAAGCUACAUUUCACAUGAUAUUUGGAUUUUACAGAGGC
Small nucleolar RNA from Cornus florida, 116 nucleotides. RefSeq annotates it as small nucleolar RNA Z278. The transcript has a single exon. NCBI's taxonomy places the organism in Eukaryota, Viridiplantae, Streptophyta, Magnoliopsida, Cornales, Cornaceae. The record is from RefSeq and is a predicted model, not a curated record.